This 461-nucleotide ribosomal RNA is filed under the name uncultured bacterium. RNAcentral describes it as "partial 16S ribosomal RNA". It matches the Rfam family "Bacterial small subunit ribosomal RNA", at positions 28 to 505 of the family's 1533-position model. The record is from RNAcentral.
GAUGAACGCUGACAGAAUGCUUAACACAUGCAAGUCGAUGGGGAAGUGGUGCUUGCACCAUGGCAACCAUGGCGGACGGGUGAGUAACGCGUAAGGGACUUACCUGCAGGACUGGGAUAACAGGGGGAAACUCCUGACAAGACCGGAUAAUGUCAUGGAGCUGCAUGGCUUUAUGAUGAAAGGAGACGCCUGCGGAGAGCCUUGCGUCCUAUUAGCUAGUUGGUGAGGUAAUGGCUCACCAAGGCGAAGAUAGGUAGCCGGCCUGAGAGGGUGGACGGCCACAAGGGGACUGAGAUACGGCCCUUACUCCUACGGGAGGCAGCAGUGGGGAAUAUUGGACAAUGGGGGCAACCCUGAUCCAGCAAUUCUGUGUGCACGAAGAAGGUUUUCGGAUUGUAAAGUGCUUUCAGCAGGGAAGAAGUAAGUGACGGUACCUGCAGAAGAAGCGACGGCUAAAUACG